CGCGUAGGCGGCCCGGUCAGUCCGCUCUGAAAGUCCAGGGCUCAACCCUGGAAUGCGGGUGGAUACUGCCGGGCUAGAGUCCGGAAGAGGCGAGUGGAAUUCCUGGUGUAGCGGUGGAAUGCGCAGAUAUCAGGAGGAACACCGAUAGCGAAGGCAGCUCGCUGGGACGGUACUGACGCUGAGGCGCGAAAGCGUGGGGAGCGAACA
Molecule: ribosomal RNA, 207 nt
Filed under: uncultured bacterium
Lineage: Bacteria
Description: partial 16S ribosomal RNA
Rfam family: Bacterial small subunit ribosomal RNA
Source: RNAcentral